UGGGGAAUAUUGGACAAUGGGCGCAAGCCUGAUCCAGCCAUGCCGCGUGAGUGAUGAAGGCCCUAGGGUUGUAAAGCUCUUUCAGCGAGGAGGAUAAUGACGUUACUCGCAGAAGAAGCCCCGGCUAACUUCGUGCCAGCAGCCGCGGUAAUACGAAGGGGGCUAGCGUUGUUCGGAAUCACUGGGCGUAAAGCGCACGUAGGCGGACUUUUAAGUCAGGGGUGAAAUCCCGGGGCUCAACCUCGGAACUGCCUUUGAUACUGGAAGUCUGGAGUCCGAGAGAGGUGAGUGGAACUCCGAGUGUAGAGGUGAAAUUCGUAGAUAUUCGGAAGAACACCAGUGGCGAAGGCGGCUCACUGGCUCGGUACUGACGCUGAGGUGCGAAAGCGUGGGGAGUAAACAGGAUUAGAUACCCUGGUAGUCCACGCCGUAAACGAUGGAAGCUAGCCGUCAGGGUGCAUGCAUCUUGGUGGCGCAGUUAACGCAUUAAGCUUCCCGCCUGGGGAGUACGGUCGCAAGAUUAAAACUUAAAUGAAUUGACGGGGUCAUAGCUGUUUCCU
Molecule: ribosomal RNA, 560 nt
Filed under: uncultured bacterium
Lineage: Bacteria
Description: partial 16S ribosomal RNA
Rfam family: Bacterial small subunit ribosomal RNA
Source: RNAcentral